Molecule: long non-coding RNA, 458 nt
Organism: Sinocyclocheilus grahami
Lineage: Eukaryota; Metazoa; Chordata; Actinopteri; Cypriniformes; Cyprinidae
Exons: 2
Source: RefSeq, a predicted model, not a curated record
AGAUCAAGUCUGGCAACGAGGGGCGAGAGUUUUACAUGCGGCAAACCAGUAAUAUCAGUGCAACUUUGGUUCUGGCCCGGCCCAUUAAAGGACCGAAGACUAUCGUUCUAGAUCUAGAGAUGGUUACGGUUAACAACGUCAUCAACUUCCGUGGCAGUUCAAUAAUCCGCCUCACAGUAUUUGUCUCUGAACAUCCAUUCUGAGGCUUUAUAAAUGAACCUCUGACCUCUCACCUCUUCAUGGCCCCAUACCUCUAUCUUGGACUUCCUGUUACUGCACUACCCGUCAGGCAGCUGCAUUUCCUCAUUUUGUUUGUUCUGUGGAUCUGGACUCUCAUGUGGUCUUCACCGUCUCUGUCUGCUCUGUAGUGGGCUGAGCUUGUGCUGAUGUUUGAUAUUUCAUAAUGCAGGUUUUUCAUUAGGCUGCCUGGCUGUCAUUGUCAUCUGCAGCCACACACA